ACGCUCGACACCUACGGGGAGGUAGCAGUGGGGGAAUAAGUUAGCUACGAAUAGGGGGGAAACCCGUGAUGCAGCGAUGCCGCGUCGAAGGAGAAGUAUCUCGGGUAUGUAAACUUCUAUCUAGACNGGGAUAAAUGACGGUACCNGACUAAGAAGCCCCGGNUACUCGUNCCAGCAGCCGAGGUAAUCUGGAGCGGGCUGGCAAGGCNNC
RNAcentral lists this ribosomal RNA (211 nucleotides) under uncultured bacterium. Its description in RNAcentral is "partial 16S ribosomal RNA". The record is from RNAcentral.